This 45-nucleotide non-coding RNA is filed under the name Schistosoma margrebowiei. The record is from RNAcentral. Lineage: Eukaryota; Metazoa; Platyhelminthes; Trematoda; Strigeidida; Schistosomatidae.
AUCUAACUGACGUGUCUCAAAUAGGACGAAACCCGUGUCAUGGUU